CGAUUAGGUAGUUGGAAGGGUAGAAGCCUCCCAAGCCGAAGAUCGAUAGUCAAGUUUGAUAGAACAGAUGACCACAUUGGGAUUGAAAUCUCCCAAGUAGCGUAAAGCUACCAGCAGUCGAGAAUAUUAGUCAAUGCUCGCAAGAGUGAACUAGCUAACUGGAAUCAACGGUGUGUCAUCGUUGAUAAAGUAAGUGAAAAUAAAUGAUAUUAACUUACUAUUAGUGUCGUCCAAAUACUCGUGCCAGAAGACUCGGUAAGGCGAGAGACGCAAACGUUAGUCGUCUUAAUCAGGCGUAAAGGGUUUGUAGGCGGCUUUAAGUAUUUAAUUCUUUUUUAAGGGUAAAUCAAUUAAAGCUAGAAUCAAGAAGAGGUUAAUUAAAUAAUGCUUGGUGUAGGGUUGAUAUCUUCAGAAACUAAGUAGAAUAAUAACGGCGAAGGCUUUUUUCCAAUAAUGAUUGACGCUGAGAAACUAAGGUGAGGAUAGAAAAAAGGAUUAGAGACCCUCGUAUCCCUCACUGUCAACGAUGAAUGGUAGUUACUAGAAUAUUCUAGAGACGAUGUUAACACGAAAACCAUUCCGCCUUGUGAGUACGACUGCAAAGUUGAAAACAAAAAAAUUAGUCGGUUUCGGAGCAAACGAAGUGAAGCAUGUUGUUUAAUACGAUAGUCCGCGUAAAAUCUUACCAGUCCUUGCAUAAAACUUUCUUUUUAGUUAAUAGAAAGUAAAGGUUGUAUUCUAAUUCUUUAUAUAAAAAAGAAUAUACUAGAAUCUUCAUACA
RNAcentral lists this ribosomal RNA (781 nucleotides) under Lyomyces griseliniae. RNAcentral's name for it is "partial small subunit ribosomal RNA". It matches the Rfam family "Bacterial small subunit ribosomal RNA", at positions 238 to 1036 of the family's 1533-position model. Lineage: Eukaryota; Fungi; Basidiomycota; Agaricomycetes; Hymenochaetales; Schizoporaceae. The record is from RNAcentral.